CUUUUCUCAACCCAGAAAUCAAACCUGCGUCUCUUACAUCUCCUGUAUUGGCAGGCGGUUUCUUUACCACUACCGCCACUGGGAAGCAAUGGUUUGUUCCAUUGUUCUCUUUCGUCUGCUCUGCAACAAAAGCUUUUAAAGGAGACGCGGGUUUGAUCCCUGAUCCGGGAAGAUCCCACAAGCGGUGGAGCAACUGAGCCCAAGUGGCAAAACUGCUGAGCCUGUGCUCUAGAGCCCAGGAGCCGCAACAAGAGAAGCCGCUGCAAUGGGAAGCCAGAGCACCACAACUAGUGAGUAGCCCCCACUCGCUGCAACCAGAAGAAAACCUGAGCAGCAACGAAGACCUAGCAUGGCCAAAAAUAAAUAAAUAAAUACAAUGUUUAAAUUAAAAAAAAUCUUU
Bubalus bubalis (water buffalo) is the source of this 400-nucleotide long non-coding RNA. RefSeq lists it as uncharacterized. The record is from RefSeq and is a predicted model, not a curated record. Lineage: Eukaryota; Metazoa; Chordata; Mammalia; Artiodactyla; Bovidae. The transcript has 2 exons.